GACGAACGCUGGCGGCGUGCCUAAUACAUGCAAGUCGAACGAGUGGCGGACGGGUGAGUAACACGUGGGAACCUACCCAUCAGAGGGGGAUAACUACUCGUAAGAGUGGCUAAUACCGCAUACUCUUCGAGCGGCUGAUAUCGGAUUAGGUAGUUGGGGGGGUAAAGGCUCACAAAGGCAACGACCCGUAGCUGGUUUGAGAGGACGACCAGCAACACUGGGACUGAGACACGGCCCAGACUCCUACGGGAGGCAGCAGUGGGGAAUUUUGGACAAUGGGGGAAACCCUGAUCCAGCCAUCCCGCGUGUAUGAGAAGGCCUUCGGGUUGUAAAGUACUUUUGGCAGAGAAGCGGUAUCUGCAGAAUAAGCACCGGCUAACUACGUGCCAGCAGCCGCGGUAAUAC
RNAcentral lists this ribosomal RNA (405 nucleotides) under uncultured bacterium. RNAcentral's name for it is "partial 16S ribosomal RNA". It matches the Rfam family "Bacterial small subunit ribosomal RNA", at positions 28 to 526 of the family's 1533-position model. The record is from RNAcentral.